Subdoligranulum sp. 4_3_54A2FAA is the source of this 78-nucleotide non-coding RNA. Lineage: Bacteria; Bacillati; Bacillota; Clostridia; Eubacteriales; Oscillospiraceae. The record is from Rfam.
GAUAUGCGUUGACGCGGGAGGUUGCGGCACUUUGUGCCGGUUUUUCCGCCGAGUAUGUCCGAUCAAUGAACCGGGCGA